This 2903-nucleotide ribosomal RNA is filed under the name Enterobacter roggenkampii MGH 34. RNAcentral's name for it is "bacterial LSU rRNA". It matches the Rfam family "Bacterial large subunit ribosomal RNA". The record is from RNAcentral. Lineage: Bacteria; Pseudomonadati; Pseudomonadota; Gammaproteobacteria; Enterobacterales; Enterobacteriaceae.
UUAAGCGACUAAGCGUACACGGUGGAUGCCCUGGCAGUCAGAGGCGAUGAAGGACGUGCUAAUCUGCGAAAAGCGCCGGCGAGGUGAUAUGAACCUUUGACCCGGCGAUGUCCGAAUGGGGAAACCCAGUGUGAUUCGUCACACUAUCGUUAACUGAAUACAUAGGUUAACGAGGCGAACCGGGGGAACUGAAACAUCUAAGUACCCCGAGGAAAAGAAAUCAACCGAGAUUCCCCCAGUAGCGGCGAGCGAACGGGGAGCAGCCCAGAGUCUGAAUCAGCUUGUGUGUUAGUGGAAGCGUCUGGAAAGUCGCACGGUACAGGGUGACAGUCCCGUACACGAAAGCACACAGGUUGUGAACUCGAAGAGUAGGGCGGGACACGUGGUAUCCUGUCUGAAUAUGGGGGGACCAUCCUCCAAGGCUAAAUACUCCUGACUGACCGAUAGUGAACCAGUACCGUGAGGGAAAGGCGAAAAGAACCCCGGCGAGGGGAGUGAAAAAGAACCUGAAACCGUGUACGUACAAGCAGUGGGAGCACCUUCGGGUGUGACUGCGUACCUUUUGUAUAAUGGGUCAGCGACUUAUAUUCUGUAGCAAGGUUAACCGUAUAGGGGAGCCGAAGGGAAACCGAGUCUUAACUGGGCGUUAAGUUGCAGGGUAUAGACCCGAAACCCGGUGAUCUAGCCAUGGGCAGGUUGAAGGUUGGGUAACACUAACUGGAGGACCGAACCGACUAAUGUUGAAAAAUUAGCGGAUGACUUGUGGCUGGGGGUGAAAGGCCAAUCAAACCGGGAGAUAGCUGGUUCUCCCCGAAAGCUAUUUAGGUAGCGCCUCGUGAACUCAUCUUCGGGGGUAGAGCACUGUUUCGGCUAGGGGGCCAUCCCGGCUUACCAACCCGAUGCAAACUACGAAUACCGAAGAAUGUUAUCACGGGAGACACACGGCGGGUGCUAACGUCCGUCGUGAAGAGGGAAACAACCCAGACCGCCAGCUAAGGUCCCAAAGUCAUGGUUAAGUGGGAAACGAUGUGGGAAGGCACAGACAGCCAGGAUGUUGGCUUAGAAGCAGCCAUCAUUUAAAGAAAGCGUAAUAGCUCACUGGUCGAGUCGGCCUGCGCGGAAGAUGUAACGGGGCUAAACCAUGCACCGAAGCUGCGGCAGCGACGCUUAUGCGUUGUUGGGUAGGGGAGCGUUCUGUAAGCCGUUGAAGGUGUGCUGUGAGGCAUGCUGGAGGUAUCAGAAGUGCGAAUGCUGACAUAAGUAACGAUAAAGCGGGUGAAAAGCCCGCUCGCCGGAAGACCAAGGGUUCCUGUCCAACGUUAAUCGGGGCAGGGUGAGUCGACCCCUAAGGCGAGGCCGAAAGGCGUAGUCGAUGGGAAACAGGUUAAUAUUCCUGUACUUGGUGUUACUGCGAAGGGGGGACGGAGAAGGCUAUGUUAGCCGGGCGACGGUUGUCCCGGUUUAAGCAUGUAGGCGGAGGUUCCAGGUAAAUCCGGUACCUUAUUAACGCUGAGGUGUGAUGACGAGGCACUACGGUGCUGAAGUAACAAAUGCCCUGCUUCCAGGAAAAGCCUCUAAGCAUCAGGUAACAUCAAAUCGUACCCCAAACCGACACAGGUGGUCAGGUAGAGAAUACCAAGGCGCUUGAGAGAACUCGGGUGAAGGAACUAGGCAAAAUGGUGCCGUAACUUCGGGAGAAGGCACGCUGAUAUGUAGGUGAAGCCCCUGCGGGUGGAGCUGAAAUCAGUCGAAGAUACCAGCUGGCUGCAACUGUUUAUUAAAAACACAGCACUGUGCAAACACGAAAGUGGACGUAUACGGUGUGACGCCUGCCCGGUGCCGGAAGGUUAAUUGAUGGGGUUAGCGGCAACGCGAAGCUCUUGAUCGAAGCCCCGGUAAACGGCGGCCGUAACUAUAACGGUCCUAAGGUAGCGAAAUUCCUUGUCGGGUAAGUUCCGACCUGCACGAAUGGCGUAAUGAUGGCCAGGCUGUCUCCACCCGAGACUCAGUGAAAUUGAACUCGCUGUGAAGAUGCAGUGUACCCGCGGCAAGACGGAAAGACCCCGUGAACCUUUACUAUAGCUUGACACUGAACACUGGUCCUUGAUGUGUAGGAUAGGUGGGAGGCUUUGAAGUGUGGACGCCAGUCUGCAUGGAGCCGUCCUUGAAAUACCACCCUUUAAUGGCUGGUGUUCUAACGUAGACCCGUGAUCCGGGUUGCGGACAGUGUCUGGUGGGUAGUUUGACUGGGGCGGUCUCCUCCCAAAGAGUAACGGAGGAGCACGAAGGUUAGCUAAUCCUGGUCGGACAUCAGGAGGUUAGUGCAAUGGCAUAAGCUAGCUUGACUGCGAGAGUGACGGCUCGAGCAGGUGCGAAAGCAGGUCAUAGUGAUCCGGUGGUUCUGAAUGGAAGGGCCAUCGCUCAACGGAUAAAAGGUACUCCGGGGAUAACAGGCUGAUACCGCCCAAGAGUUCAUAUCGACGGCGGUGUUUGGCACCUCGAUGUCGGCUCAUCACAUCCUGGGGCUGAAGUAGGUCCCAAGGGUAUGGCUGUUCGCCAUUUAAAGUGGUACGCGAGCUGGGUUUAGAACGUCGUGAGACAGUUCGGUCCCUAUCUGCCGUGGGCGCUGGAGAAUUGAGGGGGGCUGCUCCUAGUACGAGAGGACCGGAGUGGACGCAUCACUGGUGUUCGGGUUGUCAUGCCAAUGGCACUGCCCGGUAGCUAAAUGCGGAAAAGAUAAGUGCUGAAAGCAUCUAAGCACGAAACUUGCCCCGAGAUGAGUUCUCCCUGAGACUUUAAGUCUCCUGAAGGAACGUUGAAGACGACGACGUUGAUAGGUCGGGUGUGUAAGCGCAGCGAUGCGUUGAGCUAACCGAUACUAAUGAACCGUGAGGCUUAACCUU